UUGUGUUCAUAGUACGGCCCCCGGAGGAUUUUAUGACCAUGGUAGGAAUUUGAAAUGGCCCCUCGAAUGAAAAAGGUUCCCCACCCCUGCAUUAAACCUUUCUACUAGCCACAGCUUUGCUGUCAGUACAUUUUAUUAUGAUACUAUAAGCUCAGAAAUUAAGUUGAUCAAACAAUUCGAUCUGUGCUAUAAACAUUUAAAUGAACCUACAGAAUAGGCUAUCAAAAUAGAAUCAUCUGAAUGAUCUUUCUUGGACAUACAUUUUGAAGUGACCCUUUGAAUUAAAAAGGUUCCUCAGCUGCUUUUGAGGAAAAACAUCAAUGUGCUUGGCCACUCUGGUUUUUAAAUGGUAUUCUGAACUAAAGCAAGGAUUGUUCAAGUUAGUUGAAAAUAGACCGUCUCUGGUUAAAUUAGUUCUACACCAAGCCUUUAGGUGGCAGUAAAACUAAUUGGCACAAUGCGAAUUCCACACACAAGCCACAAAGAAGCCAUCAGCCGCGGUCAACAACACCUUCCUGAUUGAACAGAACCACGCGCUGUCUGUGUGGUUUACAAGUUUCUUGGCGAUAUGGGGGAAAAGUUCCUCACAUACCAACGGAAAAUGGGCUUCAUAUACAUGCUGCUGUCUCAUAAUAUGGCGAAGACGAGUCACCUGAAGGCCUAACUCGCCAUAGAAGACUGAAAGAAUUGUCCUGCAGGAUGCUGUGUCCUGCAAUCCUGUGUGAUGUGCUACAGACGCGUGUGGAGGUCAACCCAAAAUGGGCACAGUCUCACCACAGAAGAGUGAAAGAGGAUCCUGGCAGGUAGACGGUAGUGUCCUGCAGAAUGGUGAUGGGCCAAUCUUACAAGAGACCACAGAAAACUGAUAUAGUGAACUAUAGAAACAACAGUGCCUGCUGCAGUAUAACGAGGACACCCUGAGCAGAGAGCUCCAAUAGACCCAGGUCCAGUAUCUUGGCAGGGUGAAAUGGAACUGAUAUGGGUAUGUACUGAUGUCAGUUAAAAUGAAUGAAUGAAUUAAUUCUCAUAUCUGAAUAAUGUGAACACUG
Molecule: long non-coding RNA, 1049 nt
Organism: Engraulis encrasicolus (European anchovy)
Lineage: Eukaryota; Metazoa; Chordata; Actinopteri; Clupeiformes; Engraulidae
Exons: 5
Source: RefSeq, a predicted model, not a curated record